UCCCGCUUAACUCAGUGGCAGAGUGCGUCACUAGUAAGCAAGAAGGCUUCCAACACGCGAGUGUUGUCAUGACGAAGUCAGUCGUUCAAAUCGGCUAGUGGGAA
This 104-nucleotide transfer RNA is filed under the name Violaceomyces palustris. RNAcentral's name for it is "tRNA-Thr". It matches the Rfam family "tRNA". From Rfam's summary of the family: Transfer RNA (tRNA) molecules are approximately 80 nucleotides in length. The record is from RNAcentral. Lineage: Eukaryota; Fungi; Basidiomycota; Ustilaginomycetes; Violaceomycetales; Violaceomycetaceae.